AACGCUGGCGGCGUGCCUAACACAUGCAAGUUGAACGUGAAAGGGGCUUCGGCCCCGAGUAAAGUGGCAAACGGGUGAGUAACGCGUGGGUGAUCUGCCUCUGAGUGGGGGAUAACGUUCCGAAAGGGACGGUAAUACCGCAUGACAUCCUGUUUUUGGAUGAACGGUGAUCGAAGCUGGGGACCGCAAGGCCUGGCGCUUGGAGAGGAGCCCGCGUCCGAUUAGCUAGUUGGUGGGGUAACGGCCUACCAAGGCGACGAUCGGUAGCCGGCCUGAGAGGGCGGACGGCCACACUGGGACUGAGACACGGCCCAGACUCCUACGGGAGGCAGCAGUGGGGAAUUGUUCGCAAUGGGCGCAAGCCUGACGACGCAACGCCGCGUGGGGGAUGAAGGUCUUCGGAUUGUAAACCCCUGUUGGGUGGGACGAACACCUUCGUGGUUAACAGCCGUGGAGACUGACGGUACCACCUGAGGAAGCCCCGGC
RNAcentral lists this ribosomal RNA (486 nucleotides) under Acidobacteria bacterium KF4-31/2. RNAcentral's name for it is "bacterial SSU rRNA". It matches the Rfam family "Bacterial small subunit ribosomal RNA", at positions 32 to 497 of the family's 1533-position model. The record is from RNAcentral. Lineage: Bacteria; Pseudomonadati; Acidobacteriota.